GACCCACCUCUGUGCCUGCCGACGCCGCUGCCCUAGUGCUCUCUGCCUUGAGCAAAUCCACGCAACCCAUUUGUGCUGGUAGCCACAGUUCUGGUGUGGAUCAACAAGCACGGCUACGAGUUGGCAAUUUAUUUAGUUGCUAGCGGCGACAAGUUGAUCUUCAGUUGUGCGGUUGACAGAAUCUUUAGAGUGGUGCAGAUUUAAAUUGGGACUUUGAUUCGAGA
This is a long non-coding RNA of Zingiber officinale, 224 nucleotides long. RefSeq lists it as uncharacterized. NCBI's taxonomy places the organism in Eukaryota, Viridiplantae, Streptophyta, Magnoliopsida, Zingiberales, Zingiberaceae. The record is from RefSeq and is a predicted model, not a curated record. The transcript has 4 exons.